This 253-nucleotide ribosomal RNA is filed under the name uncultured bacterium. Its description in RNAcentral is "partial 16S ribosomal RNA". It matches the Rfam family "Bacterial small subunit ribosomal RNA", at positions 524 to 776 of the family's 1533-position model. The record is from RNAcentral.
UACGGAGGAUGCAAGCGUUAUCCGGAAUCAUUGGGUUUAAAGGGUCCGUAGGCGGCCAAAUAAGUCAGUGGUGAAAGCCCAUCGCUCAACGAUGGAACGGCCAUUGAUACUGUUUGGCUUGAAUUAUUAGGAAGUAACUAGAAUAUGUAGUGUAGCGGUGAAAUGCUUAGAGAUUACAUGGAAUACCAAUUGCGAAGGCAGGUUACUACUAAUAUAUUGACGCUGAUGGACGAAAGCGUGGGGAGCGAACAGG